This 253-nucleotide ribosomal RNA is filed under the name uncultured bacterium. RNAcentral's name for it is "partial 16S ribosomal RNA". It matches the Rfam family "Bacterial small subunit ribosomal RNA", at positions 524 to 776 of the family's 1533-position model. The record is from RNAcentral.
UACAGAGGUCCCAAGCGUUGUUCGGAUUCACUGGGCGUAAAGGGUGCGUAGGCGGUCGGGUAAGUCUGAUGUGAAAUCUCACAGCUUAACUGUGAAACUGCAUUGGAUACUAUCCGGCUCGAGGAAUGGAGGGGAGACUGGAAUACUUGGUGUAGCAGUGAAAUGCGUAGAUAUCAAGUGGAACACCAGUGGCGAAGGCGGCUGCCUGGACCCGGCCUGACGCUGAGGCGCGAAAGCGUGGGGAGCGAUCCGG